UUCACAAAUCUACCCAAUAAAUUAAAAGCCAUAUCAAUAUAAAACAGUCUGAGAAUAGCCAAAUAGAGAAUCCAGUAACUGAUUAUUAAUGGACCUCGCCGGAAAAGCUCUUCUUAUGCGAUAGGUAUCGCCGGAAAAUUUGUUCUUCAAGCAAAGUUAAGAAUCGUUUAUGCUGGAAUCUUCACUCUUCACUCUUCACUCUUCUCUCCCCAUUAUUUUCUUGAUGAUGAAUGAGCUUAUAUAACUUUUUCCUCUAAUUUGUUGUUUUUGGUAUUAAAUUUUCUUUAAAAUUAUUUGUCGAUGAAGACGAAAGAUGGACAAAAAAUGUGUUCAUAUGGUGGAGAUGAGGGUGACUGGACUACUGAGAGAAAAAAAUUGGUGGUUUGCUCUUGUUGCUGCAUUUUUUGCUGCUUCUUUCUGAAAAGAAUGGACCUUGGGCCUAACUCAACCCAAAAAGCUAGCUUAUGAGGUGAAGAUUGCCCAAGCCAUAUAAGGAGACCAAUGACCUCAAAUCCCUCCGAUGUGGGAUAACUCAACAAUUAUUUACAUAUAUUUUUCUUUGCUUAUAGUUAUUGUAUUAUUCAUUACUUAAUAUUGUCAAGUCACCUUUUAUUAGCUUAAUGGGACAACUCAACACCCCACUCACGCCCAGAUCUCUGGAGCGUGGACAAUAUAAAUGGGGGCUCAACAUCGGUAACAAUAUAUGGGAACAGCCUGCCUCUGAUACGAUGAAAAGAAUGAACAUUGGGCCUAACUCAACCCCAAAAGCUAGCUUAUGAGGCGAGGAUUGUCUAAGCCAUAUAAGGAGACCAAGGACCUCAAAUCCCUCCGUGGGACAACUCAACACUUUCAUUUAUGUUUGGGAAUUAUUUUGAGUCAACAAAAUUAGGUGAAGCUUUGAAGUUAGGAGCAGUAGAGUUUUAUGGUGGAAGGUGACAGUUACGGUAGUUUAGUUCGAGCUUUAAUGAAUGAUUUUUCGUGACUCCGGUGGUUUCAUGGUGGGCUUAGUUCAGUUAGCUGCUAUGAGG
This 1028-nucleotide long non-coding RNA is filed under the name Nicotiana benthamiana. Its description in RNAcentral is "long non-coding RNA (NBEN_LNC018765)". The record is from RNAcentral. Lineage: Eukaryota; Viridiplantae; Streptophyta; Magnoliopsida; Solanales; Solanaceae.